UGUGGUUUGAACUGGUGCGUAGGUCUGAAGCACGUGAGCUUGAAACUUGUGAAAAAGCAGUAAAACUACAAUUAUAAUGUUCAAUUAACAUUGAUUCCACAGUCGUACACGAAUAAUGGAAAAAGAAUUUCACAACUUUCCAUCGAAAUAUGGAUCAAUCUUCAACACAUUCCUGUGGACGGGCUGUGUCUGACAUAUCACGAGUAUUGACUACUGGCGGCUGGACGAUGGGUGCCUGAGGCUGUAAGACUGAGGAUACAAGGCAGGUUCUUUGAAAAAUUCAUUCUUCAAUAUCAAAGUAAAUUUCAUCAGAGGUGGGGAUGCUGAGGUGUUUAUGGGGUCAUACCGAAACGAGGACUCGAUUGAAUUCAUCGGCUCUCAUUGGAAUGUGGUAAAGGCCGGAAUGAAGGUCGGAUAAAGUCUUUCAACCGGUUAUCACUACCUCCAGCUGGACGUGUUUCCAGACCAAUGGAGACGGUGGUGGGGAGGCUUAUAUACAUAGGGCCUCCUCCCCUCUACCGUCACUCUCCUCGGGACCUCCGUUCGGGACGGACGGGAGUGGGGGGAAGGGGAAGUACACAGCAAAGGCCCAAAUCCCGGAACUCUACGAGGGGGGGUCGAGAAUCCAGGAAGCCCUGUGAACCCCGUUAGAAAAGGGGUACAGAAAAAAUUGGUUAAGUGUCCUUGUUUGCUCAUCUUUAAUGCAUGAUCCUUGCAAGUAACACCGUGUCAACGAGUAUACCUUCUACAUGAAAUAAUAACAGGUUUCAAGAACAAUAGUUGCUGUGACGAAGAUGAAACGAUGCUGAAAUAGGAUAAGAACAAAGAUAGACAGCACUGGAAAGAGAAACAUGAAGACGCAUCGAAUCUGCAAUAUAUUGCAAUUAAAUAAAUCUGCAGAAUUUUAAUUAAAGUCUUAAUUCAAUCGUAAUUUAAAUGGCGUUUAUUAUUUAAUUGUAUACAAUUCCAUUUUCAUUCUCUAACGUCAUAAAAAGGACAGAAAAAGAUGUGUUACAAUAAAAUAAUUGGUUGUUGUAACAAGUAUAUUUAUAUUUUUAAAUACA
Long non-coding RNA from Osmia bicornis bicornis, 1064 nucleotides. RefSeq lists it as uncharacterized. The transcript has 7 exons. The record is from RefSeq and is a predicted model, not a curated record. NCBI's taxonomy places the organism in Eukaryota, Metazoa, Arthropoda, Insecta, Hymenoptera, Megachilidae.